UUGCACCUUUCCGAAAGGGGCGGUAAUACUGGAUGACAUCACGAGUCGAUAGGCUCGUGAUCAAAGAUUUAUCGGCGUGGGAGCGGCCUAAUUCCUAUCAGCUUGUUGGUGAGGUAAUGGCUCACCAAGGCGAUGACGGGUAGCGGGACUGAGAGGUUGGCCCGCAACAUCGGGACUGAGACACUGCCCGGACCUCCACGGAGGGCUGCAGUAACGAAUAUUGGGCAAUGAGCGAAAGCUUGACCCAGCGACGCCGCGUGUAGGAGGAAGUCUUUCGGGAUGUAAACUACUGUCAGGGGGACGAAAGUGUGCUUCGGCACAUUGAUCGAACCCAGAGGAAGUCACGGCUAACUUCGUGCCAGCAGCCGCGGUAAGACGAAGGUGGCAAGCGUUGUUCGGUAUCACUGGGCUUAAAGCGUGUGUAGGCGGAAGCUUAAGCGUUUUGUGAAAUCCCUCGGCUUAACCGAGGAAUUGCUUGACGAACUGGGCUUCUUGAGGCAGGUAGGGGUGCGCAGAACUCUUGGUGGAGCGGUGGAAUGCGUAGAUAUCAAGAGGAAUGCCGGUGGAGAAGUCGGUGCACUGGGCCUGACCUGACGCUGAGACACGAAAGCGUGGGGAGCGAACGGGAUUAGAUACCCCGGUAGUCCACGCCGUAAGCGAUGCCUAUCUAGGUUGUGGUGGUUCUGACGCCAGCACAGCCGAAGCCAAAGUGUUAAGUAGGCCGCCUGGGGAGUACGGUCGCAAGGCUAAAACUCAAAGGAAUUUUNNG
This 769-nucleotide ribosomal RNA is filed under the name uncultured Planctomycetales bacterium. RNAcentral's name for it is "bacterial SSU rRNA". It matches the Rfam family "Bacterial small subunit ribosomal RNA", at positions 141 to 916 of the family's 1533-position model. Lineage: Bacteria; Pseudomonadati; Planctomycetota; Planctomycetia; Planctomycetales. The record is from RNAcentral.